This 300-nucleotide signal recognition particle RNA is filed under the name Cebus imitator (Panamanian white-faced capuchin). Its description in RNAcentral is "Metazoan signal recognition particle RNA (ENSCCAG00000000485.1)". It matches the Rfam family "Metazoan signal recognition particle RNA". Rfam says of the family: The signal recognition particle (SRP) is a universally conserved ribonucleoprotein. It is involved in the co-translational targeting of proteins to membranes. The eukaryotic SRP consists of a 300-nucleotide 7S RNA and six proteins: SRPs 72, 68, 54, 19, 14, and 9. The record is from Rfam by way of RNAcentral. Lineage: Eukaryota; Metazoa; Chordata; Mammalia; Primates; Cebidae.
GCCGGGUGCAGUGGCGCGUGCCUGUAGUCCCAGCUACUCGGGAGGCUGAGGCGGGAGGACAGCUUGAGCCCAGGAGUUCUGGGCUGUAGUGUGCUAUGCUGAUCGGGUGUCAGCACUAAGUUCAGCAUCAAUAUGGUGACCUCCCGGGAGCGGGGGACCACCAGGUUGCCUAAGGAGGCGUGAACCAGCCCAGGUAGGAAACAGAGCAGGUCAAAACUGCCAAGCUGAUCAGUAGUGGGACCACACCUGUGAACAGCCACUGCACUCCAGCCUGGGCAACAUAGGGAGACCCUGUCUCUU